AUUGAACGCUGGCGGCAGGCUUAACACAUGCAAGUCGAGCGGGGAAGGUUGCUUCGGUAACUAACCUAGCGGCGGACGGGUGAGUAAUGCUUAGGAAUCUGCCUAUUAGUGGGGGACAACAUUCCGAAAGGAAUGCUAAUACCGCAUACGCCCUACGGGGGAAAGCAGGGGAUCUUCGGACCUUGCGCUAAUAGAUGAGCCUAAGUCGGAUUAGCUAGUUGGUGGGGUAAAGGCCUACCAAGGCGAAGAUCUGUAGCGGGUAUGAGAGGAUGAUCCGCCACACUCGGACUGAGACACGGCCCAGACUCCUACGGGAGGCAGCAGUGGGGAAUAUUGGACAAUGGGCGGAAGCCUGAUCCAGCCAUGCCGCGUGUGUGAAGAAGGCCUUUUGGCUGUAAAGCACUUUAAGCGAGGAGGAGGCUCCUUUAGUUAAUACCUAAAGAGAGUGGACGUUACUCGCAGAAUAAGCACCGGCUAACUCUGUGCCAGCCGCCGCGGUAA
Molecule: ribosomal RNA, 501 nt
Filed under: uncultured bacterium
Lineage: Bacteria
Description: partial 16S ribosomal RNA
Rfam family: Bacterial small subunit ribosomal RNA
Source: RNAcentral